RNAcentral lists this ribosomal RNA (397 nucleotides) under uncultured bacterium. RNAcentral describes it as "bacterial SSU rRNA". It matches the Rfam family "Bacterial small subunit ribosomal RNA", at positions 29 to 417 of the family's 1533-position model. The record is from RNAcentral.
AACGAACGCUGGCGGCAGGCCUAACACAUGCAAGUCGAACGCUCGUAGCAAUACGAGAGUGGCAGACGGGUGAGUAACACGUGGGAACCUUCCCUAUGGUUCGGAAUAGCUCAGGGAAACUUGAGCUAAUACCGCAUGACAUCCCCUUCACACACGAGUCGGGGAUCAAAGCCGGGGACCCUUCGGGGCCUGGCGCCUGAGGAGAAGCCCGCGCCCGAUUAGCUAGUUGGUGAGGUAAUGGCUCACCAAGGCUUCGAUCGGUAGCCGGCCUGAGAGGGCGGACGGCCACACUGGGACUGAGACACGGCCAGACUCCGUACGGGAGGCAGCAGGCGGGGUAAUUUUUGCAAGUGGGGGAAACCCUGAACAAGCAACGCCGCGUGGAGGACGACGACCU